GAUGAACGCUGACAGAAUGCUUAACACAUGCAAGUCUACUUGAACUUCGGUUUGGGUGGCGGACGGGUGAGUAACGCGUAAAGAACUUGUCUCACAGAUAGGGACAACAUUUGGAAACGAAUGCUAAUACCUGAUAUUAUGAUUUUAGGGCAUCCUAGAAUUAUGAAAGCUAUAUGCACUGUGAGAGAGCUUUGCGUCCCAUUAGCUAGUUGGAGAGGUAACGGCUCACCAAGGCGAUGAUGGGUAGCCGGCCUGAGAGGGUGAUCGGCCACAAGGGGACUGAGACACGGCCCUUACUCCUACGGGAGGCAGCAGUGGGGAAUAUUGGACAAUGGACCAAGAGUCUGAUCCAGCAAUUCUGUGUGCACGAUGAAGUUUUUCGGAAUGUAAAGUGCUUUCAGUUGGGAAGAAAAAAAUGACGGUACCAACAGAAGAAGUGACGGCUAAAUACGUG
RNAcentral lists this ribosomal RNA (454 nucleotides) under uncultured bacterium. Its description in RNAcentral is "partial 16S ribosomal RNA". It matches the Rfam family "Bacterial small subunit ribosomal RNA", at positions 28 to 507 of the family's 1533-position model. The record is from RNAcentral.